CCUACGGGGCGCAGCAGUGAGGAAUAUUGGUCAAUGGACGAGAGUCUGAACCAGCCAAGUAGCGUGAAGGAUGACUGCCCUAUGGGUUGUAAACUUCUUUUAUAUGGGAAUAAAACGUUCCACGUGUGGGAUUUUGUAUGUACCAUAUGAAUAAGGAUCGGCUAACUCCGUGCCAGCAGCCGCGGUAAUACCGAGGAUCCGAGCGUUAUCCGGAUUUAUUGGGUUUAAAGGGAGCGUAGGUGGAUUGUUAAGUCAGUUGUGAAAGUUUGCGGCUCAACCGUAAAAUUGCAGUUGAAACUGGCAGUCUUGAGUACAGUAGAGGUGGGCGGAAUUCGUGGUGUAGCGGUGAAAUGCUUAGAUAUCACGAAGAACUCCGAUUGCGAAGGCAGUUCACUGGACUGCAACUGACACUGAGGCUCGAAAGUGUGGGUAUCAAACAGGAUUAGAUACCCGAGUAGUC
RNAcentral lists this ribosomal RNA (460 nucleotides) under uncultured bacterium. RNAcentral's name for it is "partial 16S ribosomal RNA". It matches the Rfam family "Bacterial small subunit ribosomal RNA", at positions 338 to 795 of the family's 1533-position model. The record is from RNAcentral.